This 74-nucleotide transfer RNA is filed under the name Gemmatimonadota bacterium. Its description in RNAcentral is "Gemmatimonadetes bacterium (activated sludge metagenome) tRNA-Pro". It matches the Rfam family "tRNA". From Rfam's summary of the family: Transfer RNA (tRNA) molecules are approximately 80 nucleotides in length. Their secondary structure includes four short double-helical elements and three loops (D, anti-codon, and T loops). Further hydrogen bonds mediate the characteristic L-shaped molecular structure. tRNAs have two regions of fundamental functional importance: the anti-codon, which is responsible for specific mRNA codon recognition, and the 3' end, to which the tRNAs corresponding amino acid is attached (by aminoacyl-tRNA synthetases). tRNAs cope with the degeneracy of the genetic code in two manners: having more than one tRNA (with a specific anti-codon) for a particular amino acid; and 'wobble' base-pairing, i.e. permitting non-standard base-pairing at the 3rd anti-codon position. Lineage: Bacteria; Pseudomonadati; Gemmatimonadota. RNAcentral also lists the same sequence under 2 other names. The record is from RNAcentral.
CGGGGCGUGGCGCAGCCUGGUAGCGCACCUGCUUGGGGUGCAGGGGGUCGUGGGUUCAAAUCCCGCCGUCCCGA